Molecule: ribosomal RNA, 737 nt
Filed under: uncultured bacterium
Lineage: Bacteria
Description: bacterial SSU rRNA
Rfam family: Bacterial small subunit ribosomal RNA
Source: RNAcentral
CGGACGGGUGAGUAAUACAUCGGAACGUGUCCUAAAGUGGGGGAUAACGCAUCGAAAGAUGUGCUAAUACCGCAUAAUCUCUGAGGAGAAAAGUAGGGGAUCGAAAGACCUUAUGCUUUUGGAGCGGCUGAUGUCUGAUUAGCUAGUUGGUAAGGUAAUGGCUUACCAAGGCGACGAUCAGUAGUUGGUCUGAGAGGACGACCAGCCACACUGGGACUGAGACACGGCCCAGACUCCUACGGGAGGCAGCAGUGGGGAAUUUUGGACAAUGGGCGCAAGCCUGAUCCAGCAAUGCCGCGUGAGUGGAGAAGGCCUUCGGGUUGUAAAGCUCUUUCAGUUGAAAAGAAAAAGUCGUGACUAAUAAUCAUGGCUCAUGACGGUAUCAACAGAAGAAGCACCGGCUAACUACGUGCCAGCAGCCGCGGUAAUACGUAGGGUGCAAGCGUUAAUCGGAAUUACUGGGCGUAAAGGGUGCGCAGGCGGUUCUGUAAGUCAGAUGUGAAAUCCCCGGGCUUAACCUGGGAACUGCGUUUGAAACUGCAGAGCUAGAGUGCGGCAGAGGGAGGUGGAAUUCCAUGUGUAGCAGUGAAAUGCGUAGAGAUAUGGAAGAACAUCGAUGGCGAAGGCAACCUCCUGGGCUAGCACUGACGCUCAUGCACGAAAGCGUGGGGAGCAAACAGGACUAGAUACCCUGGUAGUCCACGCCCUAAACUAUGUCAACUAGUUGUCGGGUCUUA